CUUUAGUACAAUAGUAUUCUAUCACAAUCACAUGCAAAAACUUGUUCUUCCAUCCAUUCCCCAAUUGAUGGGUAUCCUCUCCUUUUCCAGAUUUUAGCAAUCAUAAAAAAAUACUUCUAUAAUUUUUUUUGUACAAAUAGCUUCUUUUUCUUUUUCUCUGAUGUCUUUGGGAUACAUACCUACUGGGGAUAUUGCUGGGUCAAAGGGUUUGCAUAGUUUUAUUCUCCUUUGGGAACAGUUUAGAUUUGUUCUCUAAAAUAGUUAGGCCUAUUCAAACUGAAAACAGGAGCCAAAAGAGGUCCAAUUUUUCCAUAUCCCCUGGAGCAUUUUUCAUUUUCAUUUUCUAUCAUGUAAAUCAAUCUGACAGUCAUCUGUAAGGUGUGACCUCAGAGUUGUUUUAAUUUACCUUUCUCAAAUUAAUAGUGAUUCAGAGUAUUUUUUCAGGUGACCUUAGAUAGCUUUGUUUUCUUCUGAAUAUUGCCUUUUCAGAUUCUGUACUAUUUAUCAAAUGAGGAAUGGUUCUUAUUUUUUAUAAAUUUAAGUCAAUUACCUAUAUGUUUGAGGAAUGAGGUCUUUAUCACAGAAAUAGUCAUUUAAAAAAUAUUACUUCACUAUUUAUGGUGCUUUUUAGUAAAAUGCAAUUUGCCUGAUUAUCUCUUUUAAUGAGGUCUAUUUUUGCUUUUUGCUUUGUCUGAGAUCAUGAUUGCUACCUUAAGCUUUUUUACUUCAUUUAGAACAUAAUCAAUUCUGAUUCAUUCCCUUAUUUUAAUCUCUGUGUAUCUUUCUGUUUCCAGUGUUUCUUGUAAACAAUGUAUAGUUGGAUUUUGGUUUCAAAUACAUUCUGCUCUCCACUUCCAUUUUAUGGAUUCUGGUGCGUCAGUCCACUAAUCAACUUUGUGGAGAUAAGCAGUAGAAGACUUCAGCUUUGAUCUGGUGCUACAGCACCUGCCUUAUCCACUUCUUAGACUAAUGGUGUUAGGUAAAGACAUACAUUUGAUUCUUCAAAGGGAAAAAAUAAGUACCACAUACUUGUAGUCACUGCAUAUCUUUUGUCCCUCCUCCUUAUUCCUAUUCUACCAAAUAAAAAACUUAAAACUAUUGUUUUAUGUGACA
Molecule: long non-coding RNA, 1113 nt
Filed under: Monodelphis domestica (gray short-tailed opossum)
Lineage: Eukaryota; Metazoa; Chordata; Mammalia; Didelphimorphia; Didelphidae
Description: lncRNA (ENSMODG00000048503.1)
Source: RNAcentral